AGUGAACGCUGGCGGUAGGCCUAACACAUGCAAGUCGAACGGCAGCACAGUAAGAGCUUGCUCUUACGGGUUGCGAGUGGCGGACGGGUUAGGAAUACAUCGGAAUCUACUUUUUCGUGGGGGAUAACGUAGGGAAACUUACGCUAAUACCGCAUACGACCUACGUGUGAAAGCAGGGGAUCUUCGGACCUUUCGCGAUUGAAUGAGCCGAUGUCGGAUUAGCUAGUUGGCGGGGUAAAGGCCCACCAAGGCGACGAUCCGUAGCUGGUCUGAGAGGAUGAUCAGCCACACUGGAACUGAGACACGGUCCAGACUCCUACGGGAGGCGGCAGUGGGGAAUAUUGGACAAAGGGCGCAAGCCUGAUCCAGCCAUACCGCGUGGGUGAAGAAGGCCUUCGGGUUGUAAAGCCCUUUUGUUGGGAAAGAAAAGCAGCAGGUUAAUACCCCGCUGUUCUGACGGUACCCAAAGAAUAAGCACCGGCUAACUUCGUG
RNAcentral lists this ribosomal RNA (492 nucleotides) under uncultured bacterium. RNAcentral describes it as "partial 16S ribosomal RNA". It matches the Rfam family "Bacterial small subunit ribosomal RNA", at positions 29 to 507 of the family's 1533-position model. The record is from RNAcentral.